Molecule: unclassified non-coding RNA, 353 nt
Filed under: soil metagenome
Description: partial contains 5.8S ribosomal RNA, internal transcribed spacer 2, and large subunit ribosomal RNA
Rfam family: 5.8S ribosomal RNA (bases 1-120)
Source: RNAcentral
GAUGAAGAACGCAGCGAAAUGCGAUAAGUAAUGUGAAUUGCAGAAUUCAGUGAAUCAUCGAAUCUUUGAACGCACAUUGCGCCCGCCAGUAUUCUGGCGGGCAUGCCUGUUCGAGCGUCAUUACAACCCUCAGGCCCCAGGGCCUGGCGUUGGGGAUCGGCGGAAGCCCCCUGCGGGCACAACGCCGUCCCCCAAAUACAGUGGCGGUCCCGCCGCAGCUUCCAUUGCGUAGUAGCUAACACCUCGCAACUGGAGAGCGGCGCGGCCACGCCGUAAAACACCCAACUUCUGAAUGUUGACCUCGAAUCAGGUAGGAAUACCCGCUGAACUUAAGCAUAUCAAUAAGCGGAGGA